Molecule: small nucleolar RNA, 162 nt
Organism: Balaenoptera acutorostrata (minke whale)
Lineage: Eukaryota; Metazoa; Chordata; Mammalia; Artiodactyla; Balaenopteridae
Source: RefSeq, a predicted model, not a curated record
AUGCACACUUUUGCAUGGUAUAUUUCCACUUUAGAAUCUGACUGGGAGUUUAACUUCUCUGUUUGUAAAAACAGCAAUGUCUUCUUAUGUGCUAUACAAAUAAUUGAAGGUUAAUUAGCAGUAUAACUAAGUAGUAAUACUGCCAGUCUCCUUCAGACAAAA